Molecule: RNA transcript, 3036 nt
Organism: Leopardus geoffroyi (Geoffroy's cat)
Lineage: Eukaryota; Metazoa; Chordata; Mammalia; Carnivora; Felidae
Gene: ADA2
Gene name: adenosine deaminase 2
Exons: 11
Source: RefSeq, a predicted model, not a curated record
AGGAUGGUGAGCUUUUCUGGUGCUUCUGACACAGCUGUCGGGGGACUCAGCAAACAGUCUGCAGUUUCUGGAGCUGCUCUGAGUCCUGUCAGGUUUCCAUCUGAGCAAUUUCCUCUUCCAGGCAUCCCAAUGCCUGUGGAUGGCCCAUCUGGGUGGCCAGCCCUGCUCUCCCUGCUUCUGGCCGUGGCGAUGCCUUUUUUCUGCUCAGCCAUAUCCAUAGAUGAAGCAUGGAACCAGCUGUUGAUGAGAGAGAAGAUGAUGCAGCUGGGGGGGCAGCUGGUGCUGACCGAACAGGAGGAGCUAGCCAAUGAGAGGCUCAUGGCCCUCAAAAAGGCUGAGGUGACACAGGCGAUGAGGACCCAGAAGUUCCCUCCCAGCAUGCACUUUUUCCGGGCCAAGACUCUCAUUGAGAAAAGUGAGGUGUUUAAUAUCCUGAAGAAGAUGCCAAAAGGGGCUGCCUUACACGUCCAUGACUUCAGCAUCCUGAGUAUGAACUGGCUGGUGAAAAAUGUCACGUACAGGCCCCACUGCCAUUUCUGUGUCACCCCAAGCGGGUACUUGAAGUUCAAAUUUGCUUAUCCAGCGCCCCCCACUCCUAAACCAGCAGAGUGUUCGGAGUGGGUUUUGCUGGAGAAAUAUCGAAAGGAGCUACAGAAUGUCACUGAGUUUGACAACAGACUUCUUCAGACUUUCACUCUGAUGACCGAGAACCCUGAGGUGGCUUAUGCAAACCAAGAUGCUGUCUGGUCCAAGUUUAAUAGUAUCUUCUUCACAAUCUCUGGCCUUGUCCACUAUGCACCAGUGUUCAGAGACUAUGUCUUCCAGGCACUGGAGGAGUUCUACCAGGACAAUGUGCUCUACCUGGAGCUCAGAGCCAUGCUGUUCCCGGUGUAUGAACUGAACGGGACUGUCCAUAGCCAAGAGUGGUCAGUGAAGACUUACAGAGAAGUGGCUUGUAUGUUUGCAGAAAAGCAUCCUGGGUUUAUUGGAAUCAAAAUCAUUUAUUCGGAUCACAGAGUCAAAAAUGUGUCCUUCAUCAUGAAAUCCAUCCAAACAGCCAUGACGCUCCGAACCAUGUUCCCCAGGAUGGUGGCAGGGUUUGACCUGGUGGGGCAUGAGGACACUGGCCAUUCCUUGUAUGACUACAGGGAGGCUUUGAUGAUUCCCACCUUGCAUGGCGUUAAACUGCCUUACUUUUUCCAUGCUGGAGAGACAGACUGGCAGGGUACUUCCAUAGAUAGAAACCUUCUGGUUGCUCUAAUACUGAACUCUACCAGGAUUGGCCAUGGAUUUGCUUUGACCAAACACCCAGCAGUCUGGGCUGACUCCUGGAAGAAGGACAUCCCCAUAGAAGUCUGUCCCAUCUCCAACCAGGUUCUGAAACUGGUGUCUGACUUGAGAAACCAUCCUGCUGCUGUUCUGAUGGCCACUGGGUACCCCAUGGUGAUCAGUUCUGAUGACCCGGCAGUCUUUGGUGCCAAAGGCUUGUCCUAUGAUUUCUAUGAGGCCUUCAUGGGUAUUGGGGGAAUGGCAGCUGAUCUGAGGACACUCAAACAACUGGCCAUGAACUCUAUCAGAUUCAGCACCUUGAUGGAUAUUGAUAAAAAAGCUGCCAUGAAAACCUGGGAGGAGAGAUGGAAUAAGUUUGUAGCUGACCUGGCCGGGAGGCCAAAGUGAGAAGACAGUCACUUAUUACCCUAUUCCUCUGCUUCCCUCUGUAAGCUGUUUUCACCUUCUGUCAAUCAUUCUUGAACCCACACUAGUAUAGUUUCUACCUCCAUUCCUUUAUCAAAAUUGACAUCAUGAAGGUCAUCAAUGGCCUCGACACUGAUUAUCCUCUCAGGAACACUUAAACAUUUACCAGACUCAUCGUUUUGAAAUAUUCUUUUCUCUCAACCCCAGUGACAUCAAUGCUCUUGGUUUCCUCCUUUCUCUCUGGCCAUUGCUUCUAGGGUCCCUUUGCCAGUUGCUCUUCUCUAUCAGAUUUCUGUGUUGGAUUUCCUCAGGACUUAGUUUUGCCUCUCUUCUAUUCAUGUCUCUGCUUCUUCUCCUCUUCAUUUUCUCUUACUCUAUAGUGUUUUCCUGGUAGUCUCAUUCACUCCUUUGCUUUUAAAUGCUAUUUAUUUGCCGAUGAUCCCCAAAUUUAUUUAUUUACUUGGAUCCUUCACAAGAAUCUCAGAAACCUACUAUGUGCAAUUCUCAUCUCUCCCUUUUAACCUUUUCCUGGUCUUUCCCAUCUUGGCAAAUGUCACCUCCAUCCAUUCUAUCCAGGUGUUGAGAGCAGAAAUUUUCAGUGAAAUUGUUGAUACUGCUCUCUCCCCUGUUCCCUGCAUAAAAAUGUAUCUUGAAUCCUCCAUGCCUCUCUACCUGUGUUGCUAUUGGCUGAGUUCAAACCACUAUCACUUCUUGUCUGAGUUAUAAUGGUCUCUUAAUUGAGCUCUCUUUCUUCUCUUUGACUUCAUUUCAUUUUUCACAGAGCAAUGGCUUUUUAAAAAUUAAAUUAAAUCAGGUUACACUGCUUACAACUCAGUGCUCUUAGAAAAAUCCAAAUGUUUCAACAGGGCAUGUGGCAUCCUGUUUAACCUGGAUUCCUACCCCAGUAGAAUCAUCUUACCCCAGUCUCCCCCAGUGUACCAGACGUUGGCCUCACUGGUCCUUUGUUCCUCAAAUAUCCCAAACCCUAUGCUGCAUCAGAGUCUUUUCUCAUUCUUUCUGACUGGGAUAUUCUUUCUUUCCACUUUUGUCUGAUUCCUGUUCACCCUUAAGAUUUCACAUUUCAUGUCAUUGUCUCAGAAAUGUUUCCUAGACCCCUAACCUAUUAAUAUCUCUCAUGGCACCUUGCUUUUUUCCUUCAUGACUCUUAGCAUAAUUUGUAAUUAUAUAUUUAUUUCUGUGUUGAUAGUCUCCCUCCCACCAGACUGUAAGCUCCAUGUGAGCAGGAGCUAAUGAUUGUUUCAUAUACAUUGUGAACACAGAGCCUAGCUCCAUGCCCCAAACCUAGUUAGUAUUCAAUAAAAGAUGUGUUGAAUGAAUGGA